AUUGAACGCUGGCGGCAUGCUUUACACAUGCAAGUCGAACGGCAGCGCGGGCUUCGGCCUGGCGGCGAGUGGCGAACGGGUGAGUAAUGCAUCGGAACGUGCCCAGUAGUGGGGGAUAGCCCGGCGAAAGCCGGAUUAAUACCGCAUCCGACCUGAGGGUGAAAGGGGGGGACCGAAAGGCCUCGCGCUAUUGGAGCGGCCGAUGUCGGAUUAGCUAGUUGGUGGGGUAAAGGCUUACCAAGGCGACGAUCCGUAGCUGGUCUGAGAGGACGACCAGCCACACUGGGACUGAGACACGGCCCAGACUCCUACGGGAGGCAGCAGUGGGGAAUUUUGGACAAUGGGGGCAACCCUGAUCCAGCCAUGCCGCGUGCGGGAAGAAGGCCUUCGGGUUGUAAACCGCUGUUGUUCGGGAAGAAAUCCUCUGGGCUAAUACCCCGGGGGGAUGACGGUACCGGAAGAAUAAGCACCGGCUAACUACGUG
This 484-nucleotide ribosomal RNA is filed under the name uncultured bacterium. RNAcentral's name for it is "partial 16S ribosomal RNA". It matches the Rfam family "Bacterial small subunit ribosomal RNA", at positions 28 to 507 of the family's 1533-position model. The record is from RNAcentral.